UCUCUGCUGAUGGUCCCCACCCAGUCUCUCCUUCUCUGUGGGCACAUCAGUAGUCAACAAACCCAAUCCUGAUGGUCCCUUGAGUCAGGCACUGCUGAUCACAUGAAGAUGGUGGCUAUUUUGCUUGGAGGAACAGGCUCUAUAAUAGUGUCCAAAGACCAGACGCCUAGAAGUUCCUGGACAUCAUCCGCAGCCUCAGCCAGUCUCUGCCACAAUGAGUGCUGGGUGAGCGAAUGAUCUCAUCAACCAGCCUCUCACAGCAGUGAACGUGGGGCACAAGACCUUGGACCCAAUGUCCAUGCUACAACUCACAAGACCUACCUGUUUUGUCCUUGCAGCCUGAACCUUGCAUGUACACAUGCAGAAGUUUGCUUAUUCUUAACAAGCUAACCCCUUGUAUACCUGCUGUGACCAUUAACCUUGACUGUCAACUUGCCGGACUUAGGAUCAUCAUGGGAACAGCCCUUGGGCAUAUCUGUGGAAGCAUUUCUAGGUGAAUUGGGGUGGGGGAGCCUAUCCUAAACAUGAAUGGCAUCAUUCCAUGGGUUGGGUUCUUCACUGAAUAAAAAGAAGGAAGCAAA
Molecule: long non-coding RNA, 581 nt
Filed under: Mus pahari (shrew mouse)
Lineage: Eukaryota; Metazoa; Chordata; Mammalia; Rodentia; Muridae
Description: predicted gene 14155 (MGP_PahariEiJ_G0005571.1)
Source: RNAcentral